ACGCUCGACACCUACGGGAGGCAGCAGUGGGGAAUAUUGCACAAUGGGGGAAACCCUGAUGCAGCGACGCCGCGUGAGCGAAGAAGUAUUUCGGUAUGUAAAGCUCUAUCAGCAGGGAAGAAACUGACGGUACCUGACUAAGAAGCACCGGCUAAAUACGUGCCAGCAGCCGAGGUAAUCUGAGCGGGCUGGCAAGGC
RNAcentral lists this ribosomal RNA (198 nucleotides) under uncultured bacterium. RNAcentral describes it as "partial 16S ribosomal RNA". It matches the Rfam family "Bacterial small subunit ribosomal RNA", at positions 328 to 539 of the family's 1533-position model. The record is from RNAcentral.